UUUCCGUAGGUGAACCUGCGGAAGGAUCAUUACCGUGUGAAUGGGCAGAGGGGAAACUCUCUGCUUCCACACCCUUUGUGUACUCUCUGGUUGCUUCGGUAGGGCGUCAGUUCACCUGCCAUCGCUUUUGAAGUGAUGUGUACCUACCGAAAGACUCCCAAACUCUGGCUUUUUACAGUGAUGUCUGAGCCAAAUUUUGAAAUGAAAUAAAACUUUCAACGAUGGAUCUCUUGGUUCCAGGAUCGAUGAAGAACGCAGC
Molecule: unclassified non-coding RNA, 259 nt
Filed under: uncultured fungus
Lineage: Eukaryota; Fungi
Description: sequence contains ITS1, 5.8S rRNA gene
Rfam family: 5.8S ribosomal RNA (bases 211-259)
Source: RNAcentral